CUUUAACGCGGGAAAGACACA
This 21-nucleotide microRNA is filed under the name Medicago truncatula (barrel medic). Its description in RNAcentral is "mtr-miR5755". Lineage: Eukaryota; Viridiplantae; Streptophyta; Magnoliopsida; Fabales; Fabaceae. The record is from miRBase by way of RNAcentral.